Sorghum bicolor (sorghum) is the source of this 109-nucleotide small nucleolar RNA. It matches the Rfam family "Plant small nucleolar RNA R71". Rfam says of the family: R71 is a member of the C/D box family of snoRNAs containing the C (UGAUGA) and D (CUGA) box motifs. Multiple nearly identical copies of this snoRNA have been identified in Arabidopsis, and it is thought to function as a 2'-O-ribose methylation guide for 18S ribosomal RNA. NCBI's taxonomy places the organism in Eukaryota, Viridiplantae, Streptophyta, Magnoliopsida, Poales, Poaceae. The record is from Rfam.
AUGUCGUGGUGUGGGCAUGCUUGGAUGUAGUCUUGUAGUCUUUCCCAUGCCUCUGGAAUGGACUCUGUGGUGUUCUGCUGGAAGUUGGAAAUUCUUCCCCUCAGGGCAU